RNAcentral lists this ribosomal RNA (2902 nucleotides) under Klebsiella pneumoniae. Its description in RNAcentral is "23S ribosomal RNA". It matches the Rfam family "Bacterial large subunit ribosomal RNA". Lineage: Bacteria; Pseudomonadati; Pseudomonadota; Gammaproteobacteria; Enterobacterales; Enterobacteriaceae. The record is from RNAcentral.
GGUUAAGCGACUAAGCGUACACGGUGGAUGCCCUGGCAGUCAGAGGCGAUGAAGGACGUGCUAAUCUGCGAAAAGCGUCGGUAAGGUGAUAUGAACCGUUAUAACCGGCGAUGUCCGAAUGGGGAAACCCAGUGUGAUUCGUCACACUAUCGUUAACUGAAUACAUAGGUUAACGAGGCGAACCGGUGGAACUGAAACAUCUAAGUACCCCGAGGAAAAGAAAUCAACCGAGAUUCCCCCAGUAGCGGCGAGCGAACGGGGAGCAGCCCAGAGUCUGAAUCAGCUUGUGUGUUAGUGGAACGGUCUGGAAAGUCCGACGGUACAGGGUGAUAGUCCCGUACACCAAAAUGCACAGGCUGUGAACUCGAAGAGUAGGGCGGGACACGUGGUAUCCUGUCUGAAUAUGGGGGGACCAUCCUCCAAGGCUAAAUACUCCUGACUGACCGAUAGUGAACCAGUACCGUGAGGGAAAGGCGAAAAGAACCCCGGCGAGGGGAGUGAAAAAGAACCUGAAACCGUGUACGUACAAGCAGUGGGAGCACCUUCGGGUGUGACUGCGUACCUUUUGUAUAAUGGGUCAGCGACUUAUAUUCUGUAGCAAGGUUAACCGUAUAGGGGAGCCGCAGGGAAACCGAGUCUUAACUGGGCGUUAAGUUGCAGGGUAUAGACCCGAAACCCGGUGAUCUAGCCAUGGGCAGGUUGAAGGUUGGGUAACACUAACUGGAGGACCGAACCGACUAAUGUUGAAAAAUUAGCGGAUGACUUGUGGCUGGGGGUGAAAGGCCAAUCAAACCGGGAGAUAGCUGGUUCUCCCCGAAAGCUAUUUAGGUAGCGCCUCGUGAACUCAUCUUCGGGGGUAGAGCACUGUUUCGGCUAGGGGGUCAUCCCGACUUACCAACCCGAUGCAAACUACGAAUACCGAAGAAUGUUAUCACGGGAGACACACGGCGGGUGCUAACGUCCGUCGUGAAGAGGGAAACAACCCAGACCGCCAGCUAAGGUCCCAAAGUCAUGGUUAAGUGGGAAACGAUGUGGGAAGGCACAGACAGCCAGGAUGUUGGCUUAGAAGCAGCCAUCAUUUAAAGAAAGCGUAAUAGCUCACUGGUCGAGUCGGCCUGCGCGGAAGAUGUAACGGGGCUAAACCAUGCACCGAAGCUGCGGCAGCGACACUAUGUGUUGUUGGGUAGGGGAGCGUUCUGUAAGCCUGCGAAGGUGACCUGUGAGGGUUGCUGGAGGUAUCAGAAGUGCGAAUGCUGACAUAAGUAACGAUAAAGCGGGUGAAAAGCCCGCUCGCCGGAAGACCAAGGGUUCCUGUCCAACGUUAAUCGGGGCAGGGUGAGUCGACCCCUAAGGCGAGGCCGAAAGGCGUAGUCGAUGGGAAACAGGUUAAUAUUCCUGUACUUGGUGUUACUGCGAAGGGGGGACGGAGAAGGCUAUGUUAGCCGGGCGACGGUUGUCCCGGUUUAAGCAUGUAGGCUGGUUAUCCAGGCAAAUCCGGAUAAUCAAGGCUGAGGUGUGAUGACGAGGCACUACGGUGCUGAAGUAACAAAUGCCCUGCUUCCAGGAAAAGCCUCUAAGCAUCAGGUAACAUCAAAUCGUACCCCAAACCGACACAGGUGGUCAGGUAGAGAAUACCAAGGCGCUUGAGAGAACUCGGGUGAAGGAACUAGGCAAAAUGGUGCCGUAACUUCGGGAGAAGGCACGCUGGUGUGUAGGUGAAGCCCCUGCGGGUGGAGCUGAGACCAGUCGAAGAUACCAGCUGGCUGCAACUGUUUAUUAAAAACACAGCACUGUGCAAACACGAAAGUGGACGUAUACGGUGUGACGCCUGCCCGGUGCCGGAAGGUUAAUUGAUGGGGUUAUCCGUAAGGAGAAGCUCUUGAUCGAAGCCCCGGUAAACGGCGGCCGUAACUAUAACGGUCCUAAGGUAGCGAAAUUCCUUGUCGGGUAAGUUCCGACCUGCACGAAUGGCGUAAUGAUGGCCAGGCUGUCUCCACCCGAGACUCAGUGAAAUUGAACUCGCUGUGAAGAUGCAGUGUACCCGCGGCAAGACGGAAAGACCCCGUGAACCUUUACUAUAGCUUGACACUGAACAUUGAGCCUUGAUGUGUAGGAUAGGUGGGAGGCUUUGAAGCGUGGACGCCAGUCUGCGUGGAGCCAACCUUGAAAUACCACCCUUUAAUGUUUGAUGUUCUAACGUUGGCCCCUUACCGGGGUUGCGGACAGUGUCUGGUGGGUAGUUUGACUGGGGCGGUCUCCUCCCAAAGCGUAACGGAGGAGCACGAAGGUUAGCUAAUCCUGGUCGGACAUCAGGAGGUUAGUGCAAUGGCAUAAGCUAGCUUGACUGCGAGCGUGACGGCGCGAGCAGGUGCGAAAGCAGGUCAUAGUGAUCCGGUGGUUCUGAAUGGAAGGGCCAUCGCUCAACGGAUAAAAGGUACUCCGGGGAUAACAGGCUGAUACCGCCCAAGAGUUCAUAUCGACGGCGGUGUUUGGCACCUCGAUGUCGGCUCAUCACAUCCUGGGGCUGAAGUAGGUCCCAAGGGUAUGGCUGUUCGCCAUUUAAAGUGGUACGCGAGCUGGGUUUAGAACGUCGUGAGACAGUUCGGUCCCUAUCUGCCGUGGGCGCUGGAGAAUUGAGGGGGGCUGCUCCUAGUACGAGAGGACCGGAGUGGACGCAUCACUGGUGUUCGGGUUGUCAUGCCAAUGGCACUGCCCGGUAGCUAAAUGCGGAAGAGAUAAGUGCUGAAAGCAUCUAAGCACGAAACUUGCCCCGAGAUGAGUUCUCCCUGAGACUUUAAGUCUCCUGAAGGAACGUUGAAGACGACGACGUUGAUAGGCCGGGUGUGUAAGCGCAGCGAUGCGUUGAGCUAACCGGUACUAAUGAACCGUGAGGCUUAACCUU